GUCCCCUUGCGUCUAGGAGCCGGGACACCGCCUUUCACGGCGCGGUAACAGGGGAGUUCGAAUCCCCUAGGGGACGCCA
Molecule: transfer RNA, 79 nt
Filed under: Salmonella enterica subsp. enterica
Lineage: Bacteria; Pseudomonadati; Pseudomonadota; Gammaproteobacteria; Enterobacterales; Enterobacteriaceae
Description: tRNA-OTHER
Source: RNAcentral